RNAcentral lists this ribosomal RNA (433 nucleotides) under uncultured bacterium. RNAcentral describes it as "partial 16S ribosomal RNA". It matches the Rfam family "Bacterial small subunit ribosomal RNA", at positions 29 to 507 of the family's 1533-position model. The record is from RNAcentral.
AACGAACGCUGGCGGCAUGCCUAACACAUGCAAGUCGAACGAGACCUUCGGGUCUAGUGGCGCACGGGUGCGUAACGCGUGGGAACCUGCCCUUAGGUUCGGAAUAACUCCCCGAAAGGGGUGCUAAUACCGGAUAAUGUCUUCGGACCAAAGAUUUAUCGCCUUUGGAUGGGCCCGCGUUGGAUUAGCUAGUUGGUAGGGUAAAAGCCUACCAAGGCGACGAUCCAUAGCUGGUCUGAGAGGAUGAUCAGCCACACUGGGACUGAGACACGGCCCAGACUCCUACGGGAGGCAGCAGUGAGGAAUAUUGGACAAUGGGCGAGAGCCUGAUCCAGCAAGGCCGCGUGAGUGAUGAAGGCCUUAGGGUUGUAAAGCUCUUUUACCCGGGAUGAUAAUGACAGUACCGGGAGAAUAAGCUCCGGCUAACUCCGUG